RNAcentral lists this ribosomal RNA (588 nucleotides) under uncultured bacterium. Its description in RNAcentral is "bacterial SSU rRNA". It matches the Rfam family "Bacterial small subunit ribosomal RNA", at positions 185 to 771 of the family's 1533-position model. The record is from RNAcentral.
UCCACAUGGAAAUAUUUGCUAAAGAAUUAUCGCAGAUAGAUGGGCAUGCGUUCCAUUAGAUAGUGGGUGAGGUAACGGCUCACCAAGUCCACGAUGGAUAGGGGUUCUGAGAGGAAGGUCCCCCACACUGGUACUGAGACACGGACCAGACUCCUACGGGAGGCAGCAGUGAGGAAUAUUGGUCAAUGGGCGAGAGCCUGAACCAGCCAAGUCGCGUGAAGGAUGAAGGAUCUAUGGUUUGUAAACUUCUUUUAUAUGGGAAUAAAGUGAGGAACGUGUUCCUUUUUGUAUGUACCAUAUGAAUAAGCAUCGGCUAACUCCGUGCCAGCAGCCGCGGUAAUACGGAGGAUGCGAGCGUUAUCCGGAUUUAUUGGGUUUAAAGGGUGCGUAGGUGGUUAAUUAAGUCAGCGGUGAAAGUUUGUGGCUCAACCAUAAAAUUGCCGUUGAAACUGGUUGACUUGAGUAUAUUUGAGGUAGGCGGAAUGCGUGGUGUAGCGGUGAAAUGCAUAGAUAUCACGCAGAACUCCGAUUGCGAAGGCAGCUUACUAAACUAUAACUGACACUGAAGCACGAAAGCGUGGGGAUCAA